This 83-nucleotide transfer RNA is filed under the name Gammaproteobacteria bacterium. RNAcentral describes it as "tRNA-Tyr". It matches the Rfam family "tRNA". From Rfam's summary of the family: Transfer RNA (tRNA) molecules are approximately 80 nucleotides in length. Their secondary structure includes four short double-helical elements and three loops (D, anti-codon, and T loops). Further hydrogen bonds mediate the characteristic L-shaped molecular structure. tRNAs have two regions of fundamental functional importance: the anti-codon, which is responsible for specific mRNA codon recognition, and the 3' end, to which the tRNAs corresponding amino acid is attached (by aminoacyl-tRNA synthetases). tRNAs cope with the degeneracy of the genetic code in two manners: having more than one tRNA (with a specific anti-codon) for a particular amino acid; and 'wobble' base-pairing, i.e. permitting non-standard base-pairing at the 3rd anti-codon position. Lineage: Bacteria; Pseudomonadati; Pseudomonadota; Gammaproteobacteria. The record is from RNAcentral.
GGGAAAGUGGCUGAGCGGUUUAAGGCGACAGACUGUAAAUCUGCUGAUUGUUUUCAUCGCAGGUUCGAAUCCUGCCUUUCCCA